GAAUAGCUCAGUUGGUAGAGAAUGUGACUCUUAAUCUUAGGGUUUGGGGUUCGAGCCCCAUGAUGGGCA
Molecule: non-coding RNA, 69 nt
Organism: Podarcis lilfordi (Lilford's wall lizard)
Lineage: Eukaryota; Metazoa; Chordata; Lepidosauria; Squamata; Lacertidae
Source: the annotation of a GenBank genome assembly